Daucus carota subsp. sativus is the source of this 952-nucleotide long non-coding RNA. RefSeq lists it as uncharacterized. The transcript is spliced from 3 exons. Lineage: Eukaryota; Viridiplantae; Streptophyta; Magnoliopsida; Apiales; Apiaceae. The record is from RefSeq and is a predicted model, not a curated record.
GGUGCUAAAUAUUGAUUAUUAAUGAUCUUUUAUUGAUAUCUUGAUGUCUAAUAUCUGGUUACGUAUUUAUUCAUACUUAAGCUCAUGAGAAUGGUCAUUAUUAGUUUACAUUCAUCUUAGUUCUGCCCUUGCGAUGUCUCUUUCCUUCUUUCCAGUUUACAGUAUGUGUCUUACAUUAUUUGGUACAGCUAUUAUCAUAUUGUCCUGUUUUUAUGCCAAGAACCAUGAAAUUGAGUGUAUAUAUCAUAUUAUUCUGGUAACAUUUUGCCUUAUUUUCUAAUACAAAUUAUAACGCAAAGUUAUUCUGCACUUAGGACAUAACUUGGGAUCAGCUUGCGCAUGAUGCACCUUUCUAUGCAAUCUGUUGAAAAACCUUUGAACCAACUAGAAGAACACUUUUAGGUAAGAUGGGUGAGGAACCCAACAUGGUUAGUGUUAUUGGGGCAAAUUUAUCCGCAGAUUUUGUUGCGAGAACUCUUACUACAGGUCCACUGGAUGUUGCAAAGACCAGAAGGCAAAUAGAUGUUUGUUUUUGAACUAAGUAUAUGGGGUUAAGAAGUUGAUAGGUGGUUGCUGAGGAAAUUGGUUUCACCAGGGAUGAGAUGAUUAGCAGCUAGGGAUUCAAAUUUUUUGAAUACUCAUGAAGUUGGUGGGCAUGAAAAGUUGCAAAGUGCAUGUGGGAGUUGUUCUGAAGUGUCCAAAGCAGGCUGAUCAAGAAUAACAAUAGUAAAGCCGGUCUUUAGUGAAAGUUGUGAGAAUUGUCUUUGUUUCUUUGCUCUGGUAGUAUGCUCUAAGAAGCAGGACCUCUGGUAUUUUUACAUAGAUUAAAUUGUACUUUCAUAUUGGGGUUACUUUAAUCUAAGGUGAUUACAAGCAAAAAAUUCUCAGUGGUGUGUCAGGCAAUGAAAAUAUGUAUACUUUCUAACUAAUUAAAGUGAAUACUUUCGCAUUA